RNAcentral lists this ribosomal RNA (492 nucleotides) under uncultured bacterium. RNAcentral's name for it is "partial 16S ribosomal RNA". It matches the Rfam family "Bacterial small subunit ribosomal RNA", at positions 29 to 507 of the family's 1533-position model. The record is from RNAcentral.
AGUGAACGCUGGCGGUAGGCCUAACACAUGCAAGUCGAACGGCAGCACAGUAAGAGCUUGCUCUUACGGGUGGCGAGUGGCGGACGGGUGAGGCAUACAUCGGAAUCUACUUUUUCGUGGGGGAUAACGUAGGGAAACUUACGCUAAUACCGCAUACGACCUACGGGUGAAAGCAGUGGAUCUUCGGACCUUGCGCGAUUGAUUGAGCCGAUGUCGGAUUAGCUAGUUGGCGAGGUAAAGGCCCACCAAGGCGACGAUGCGUAGCUGGUCUGAGAGGAUGAUCAGCCACACUGGAACUGAGACACGGUCCAGACUCCUACGGGAGGCAGCAGUGGGGAAUAUUGGGCAAUGGGCGAAAGCCUGAUCCAGCAAUACCGCGUGAGUGAAGAAGGCCUUCGGGUUGUAAAGCCCUUUUGUUGGGAAAGAAAAGCAGCAGGUUAAUCCCCCGCUGUUCUGACGGUACCCAAAGAAUAAGCACCGGCUAACUUCGUG